GACGGAGGGUGCUAGCGUUGUUCGGAAUUACUGGGCGUAAAGGGCGCGUAGGCGGCCUCUUAAGUCGGUUGUGAAAGCCCGGGGCUCAACCCCGGAACGGCAGCCGAGACUGGGGGGCUUGAGACCGGGAGAGGUGGGUGGAAUACCCAGUGUAGAGGUGAAAUUCGUAGAUAUUGGGUGGAACACCGGUGGCGAAAGCGGCUCACUGGCCCGGUUCUGACGCUGAGGCGCGAAAGCGUGGGGAGCAAACAGGAUUAGAAACCCCCGUAGUCC
This 273-nucleotide ribosomal RNA is filed under the name uncultured bacterium. RNAcentral describes it as "partial 16S ribosomal RNA". It matches the Rfam family "Bacterial small subunit ribosomal RNA", at positions 524 to 796 of the family's 1533-position model. The record is from RNAcentral.